AUGUGAACCUCGCUAAACACGCAAACAGGAAAUUCUACUAAGUGAAAGUGAAAGGAUUGGCGGGGGACUCCCCUUAUUAGUAUGCAGAAACAUUACGUCAUGUGGGUAUCAGGCUUUCUCAAGAGGAAAAUACACAGAAAACCAACCAGCAGAAGAUGGCGGCCCACCAGCAGACACUGGGCCAGACGCUCCGACAGACCAGCCUGCAAGCGAGGCCCCAGUAGAACAAGAUACCGCGCCUGCGCAAGAUGAGGCACCAGCUGAGGAGACUCCAAAGGAAUGAGCCGAUAGUUUAAGUCUCUGGGUUAGUGCUACGAAUCUUUUACUGCCGAAAAAAAUUGGUGGUGUACUUUUAAUUUUCGAACUUGAAUUACAUUUUCAAUCAUCCAACAGUAAAAUCUGCUAUAUGGAUGAUAAUAUUUUCCGCGGGGUUGAUAUAGAGUACAGAUAAAGAUGAAUACAAUCUUAAGCUAUUAUUUCAAAUUUUGCCUAUAUUAUCAAAUAUAAGGUUUAAAUCAUCUUACAUCAUUGAGAUAUGUCAGAAUAAACCUUUUAACGGCUUCACAAUGCAAAAAGGCCAUAAAAACGUUUAUAAUCCUUUUUUGGUAAGAAUUUCCGCCAUCUUCUCGGGUCCCUCAUCUUGGAUCUGCCAUCUUGGAUUCUUAUGAUUUUUGCCCAAAAAAAAUCUGGAAUUAUUACAGAAGAAAAGUAUUUGCAUGCAUGUGUAACCGUCGGAACUUGACAUUUACCGUGCGGUUACGAAAAAUGUAGAAACAAAUGCAAUACUGAAGGCAAAACUAUCAGGUUCUGACACCAGCCAAAAAGUAGGCAAAA
Nematostella vectensis (starlet sea anemone) is the source of this 834-nucleotide long non-coding RNA. RefSeq lists it as uncharacterized. The transcript has 2 exons. The record is from RefSeq and is a predicted model, not a curated record. Lineage: Eukaryota; Metazoa; Cnidaria; Anthozoa; Actiniaria; Edwardsiidae.